Molecule: long non-coding RNA, 4889 nt
Organism: Amphibalanus amphitrite
Lineage: Eukaryota; Metazoa; Arthropoda; Thecostraca; Balanomorpha; Balanidae
Exons: 3
Source: RefSeq, a predicted model, not a curated record
GCCGCUGUGCGCACCUCGGCCGGCCUGCAGCGGGGCCUGCAAUGUGACACCAGCCUGCAGCGGCGGCCACUGCCAGUGUGCGUGUGCGUGUGUGUGUGUGUGCGCGUGUGUCGUGGCGAGUGCCCAUGGCGCCGCCCGCACAGUUCGGAGCAUACGGGUCAUAGUUAAGGUCGCACGUCCGGCUGCCGCCGACGCUGCUCGCUGGUGCUUGGACCGCAUCUACCUCGCUAGUGUUUAGUGGUGCCGAGCAAGUCUUUCAAGUGCCUUCCUCAUGGGAAUCAGCCUCGUGGCGCCAGAGGCCCAGUCAUCUGUGUUUUCUACUUUUAUACGGUGUGAGCGUGUGUGCACGGAGUGAGUGCGCGUCUGAGGCCAGAUCAGGUCCUCAGACGCUGAGACCCGCGGGACUGUUCAGACUCGACGGAGGAAGUGGAGCGAUAUACGCCGGUGGCAUACAAAACUGAGGGUUUGCCUGGUCGUGUCGAUCGUCUACAGCAGUGAUGUCUCCUCACUCAUCUGGUCGUCUUCCCGGCGUCCCGGUGCGCCAUCCUCCAGCGGCGCCGGACUCUGAGUUGCCAGCUCUGCUCCGUGACGGCCUCCGCCGCCCACCGCGGCUGGCACGUCCGGUGCCGGCGCCCGGCCGGCCACCGCCGCGGGUCUGGCUCGGAGGGUGACGGGAGCUCGGAUAGCUCUGGCCGCCCGAGCUGUGCAGACACCAGCCGGCUGCCGUGCAGAGACGACAGAGAGUCAGUCCCGGCUGCAGCUCAGCGCGGUGUGCCUUCACAUCUCUCGCAGCCAGCAGUACCGACUGGAGUCAUCGAAAGGAGAUCUAGGGCGACCAGCAAACAGUCAGGAACCAUGGAUGACCGCUAAAGCUGCUGCUCUACUGUGACCAAUCGCGGUACCGGCCCAGGCAUCUGCCGACAUUAUCACUGCCAUCGUGAUCGUCCGCUGCCACUGCCACCAGCAAGUCACUGCCACCAGCAACCCACUGUCCCAGCGAGUCACUGCCAUCAGCGAGCCACUGCCCCAGCAAGUCACUGCCAUCUUCAUCAACGACUGAGUUCUCCAAUCUACACCAACCAACGGAGAACGACGUCUGCAGGGACGUCGUGAUCGUCUCCACGAUUCCGGAGAGUCUACCAACGGUCCGGCGGUUCCCAGUGGAGAGUACGUACGAAUGCGUACGUAUGGGGCGAUGGGUGACACAUACGUGCAAGUAGCGUGUGUGUUUCAUUGGGAUGGGUGAGGGUUUGAUGGCACAUACACUUGCGUAUGUGUAGACGGUUACUACGUAUGUUUCUUUACGUAGUAUGUGUGAGUAGGUGUACUUAAAGCAGGAGAAACAGGGUAACAGUAAACGAUUCGGGCACAUCACUGGGCCCGAAGUGUGUAGGUAAAUUUGAAAUACCAGCGGUACACUGCCGUCAGUUUCAUCGUAUAACCAGCUACCACAUUGCCACGUUGACCAAUCACUUUGCUGCCAUUAGAUUGUAGAUUGUGUGACCAGCGUAACUACACUGCCCUAGUAGUUUGUAGUUGGAUUGACAUGGGUAAACCGUAGUUUAAUUGACCAUCCACAACACUGCCCAACUAGCUUGUAAUUUGAGUAAGACGGAUAAAUGUAGUUUAAAUUUACUUGACUAGCUAUAAUACUGCCAAUUUAGCUUGUAAUUUGACCAGCCUUAUUACUGCCCCAUUAGUUUGUAACCUGACCAGCCAUACACGGCCAUGUGUGUUUAUAGUUUGAAUGACACGGGUAAACCGUAGUUGAUAGACCAGCCACUAUACUGCCAUGUGUGUUUGUAGUUUGAACGACACGGGUAAACCGUAGUUGAUAGACCAGCCACUAUACUGCCAUGCGUGUUUGUAGUUUGAGCAGCCUUAGUGCUAUGUAAGUUUGUAGUUAGACCAGCGACAAUACUGCCACUAGUCAGUAAUUUGUAGUUUGAAUGAUACGGGUAAAACCGUAGUUUGAAUGACAAGCUUCAAUGCUGUUAGAUUUUAGCUAGGCCAGCGUCAACACUGCCGUUAGGUUUUUGGUAGCAAUGAAACGGGUAAACCAUACUUGAAGGACCAGCCACAACACUGCCCAAUUAGUUAGUAAUUCGAGUGAUACGGGUAAAUCAUGUUUGAUGGACCAGCCACAACACUGCCCAAUAGUUUGUAAUUUGUGCUACUGCCCCGUUAGUUUUUAAAGGGACCCUCCCAUCUUAACAUUAGAUUUGAGUUGAGAUAGCCAAAAUGGGGUCCCUGGCUCACAAUUACCGGUUUCGGCACUCACAACAUCGAGAAAUGCCUUAAAUCGGAAAUAUUGAAUUUCAAAAUUGCAGCAUUUUGAUUCAGAGGGGCUAAUGCAUAGGAAUACCCCUCUGAAUGUGUGACGUCAGCGCAGAUAUCUAACGAUUUUUAAAUGUUUGACUAAAACGUAUUGUAGCACGCGGUGGUAUAUGCUGCUUUGCGCGCAACAAAUGCCGCACUUUCAAAUAAAGUCGCUAGGAACAGCGGAGAUCCCAAAAAGUAAACAAAAGUAAAAGUCUAAUAUCUUGAAAACCGGUGAAUAUUUUUCGAUGAAAUUUGGUAGAUAUUCGUUUUUGCUCUUUCUGAACCGAGCGACAUCACUUUCAUGCCAAUUCAUUAACUUUUUGGAAGGUGGGAGGGUCCCUUUAAUUACACUUUCUCUCCCUCGGAUACCAGAGAUUUGCGGACCAAUAAUAACACUGCCACUAGAAUUUCAUUUACUGCCGUCAAUAUCUCCCCGAUCAGACUGGCCAUUCAACAAAAAAGUUGCAUUUUAUCGUUUAUAAUAACCGUUAAUCUUCACGCAAACUUCUGAACUCUGCUUGAUUGCUUGAAAAUUGUAGAAAAAUUGAAUUUAUGUCAGGUGAAUGUGCUAUAAAAUUUAAAAUUUCCGGUAUAUUCUCCAAACUGUAGAGCAAUUCUUACCACAUCAUCUAUGGGCUCCAUCGAAUGCAACAACUCAACCGCAUUGGACUUCAUUGUAUAACUGUAUAUACCGCUCUUAGAUGAUAGUUUAGUUAGAAAGCACUACGGGUGCCUUGUUUGAAUGACCAGCCACUACACUGCCGUUAGUUUGUAGGUAGAACGAUACGGGUUUGAUCGUAGUUUGAUUGACCAGCCUCAAUGCUGCCUCUAGUUUGUAGUUUGAAUGAUACGGGUCACUUGUAGUUUGGUAGCUGUUUAAUAGACCAGCCACACUACUGCCCUGUUAGUUAUUAUAGGAUUAAAUUGGACUUACUCCACAAGAGAAUCGUUUUCGGUCGGAGCUUUCGACAUGUAUUACAUGUCCUCUUCAGCGAAGGUCGGUAAUCGGGGCGAAAAUAAAACGUUCGGGUCGAAUCGAAUCGCACAAGAUGUCGGUGAGCUGCGCAGAGUUAUUUAGGCCGCUUGAAUUAUAAAAUAAGCAAGACUGAAACACGUGACGACAAUAAGAGUACACUCAAUGAGAAAGUCUACCAAAAAACAAGAACGCAUACCACACAUGUCUCUAAGCCCUGUUAGUUAGUAAUGUCACCAGCCUCAAUACUGCCCUUUUACUUGGUAAAUUGACCAGUCAUAACACUGCCCUGUUAGUAAUGUCACCAGCCUCAAUACUGCCCUAGUAGUUGAUAAACUGACCAGCCACCCCACUGCCCUGUUAGUUAGUAAUGUCACCAGCCUCAAUGCUGCCUGUUAGUAAUAGUGACCAGCAACUACACUGCCAUGUGUGUUUGUAGUUUGAAUGUCAAUGACACGGGUAAACCGUAGUUGAUAGACCAGCCACUACACUGCCGUUAGUUCGUAGUUAGGUUAUAGCGGGUAAAUUAGCUGAAACACUGCCAUUAACUCAACGGGGGAUCUAAUUUUUGUCUCUCCACACCUUUGGUUUUUGUGUUGCACAGCUGUGUAACUCCUAAUUCCGAUAUAUACAUCAUCUCGUAUCCUGCGUUUGCACUUUUUGAACCUGUUUUGUACUUUUGUAGUCUUGUUGACGUUUGUACUAAAUGAUAUUUUCACAAUUUUAUAUUGUGCGUUUGUACUUUCUUACCGCGUGUUUGUACUUUUCUAGUGUGUAUGUUUGUAUUUUUCUAGGGGUUUGUACUUUUUAGGGCGUGUUUGCACUUUUGUACGGGAUGUUAGCAGCUAGUCAUGCGCGUUUGUACUUUUGUAGAGUGUGUUGUUUCUACUGGUGUGUGUUUAUCUCUGUCUGCGUCUGGGUGUAGGUACUUGUGCUCCGCUUUGCGGUGAGCUCACUGCGGCUCGCGGCGGCCUCUGGUCGCCCGUGUCCGCCACACCUCGUACUCUGCUCAUCGCUGCGGGCUGGUCGCCUGCGGCUCGCCGCCCGGGCACCGCCGGCCGGCGCCGACCCAGUUUAGCGUCCUCUAUACAACGCUGGUGCUGCCACCUGCCGCCGCCUGGCCGGACCGCUCUCAUAGAGCGGUCACCGGAGCUGGCGGCGGAGAGAAGGCAGAUCGGCGGCUGCACCGGCCGGCCGUCCGAGGCGCAGCCGAAACCGGGUGUGCCGUCCCGAGCGGGAUCAUCGAGCUUUGGCUUGCAACUGUUAAUGUUAGAUGCGACAUUUGCACAGCUUUUGAUAUUGGUCAUUUAUAUUGGUGUUCCGAUUGUGGAAGUAGUCCAAAUACGAUUAGCUUGGCAAGAAAGACAAGGGCUGGGGAAGCAAAUAAGCAGCUCAUAUACCACUUCAGCUUCGAAUUGAUAGCGAAUACCAAGUUUUCUGUAUCAUGUUUGUGAACUGAUUCGUGUCUAGGUCUGCGUGAAUGUCUUUUUCUGAGGCUUGUAAAUAUCUUAACUCGUAGAUAGGUGGUGUGGGUAGUGGCUAAGUCUCAUCAUACUUGACUAAAUGUUCUGAAUGGUCUGAAUAAAAUUUUAGU